Molecule: unclassified non-coding RNA, 229 nt
Filed under: plant metagenome
Description: partial contains small subunit ribosomal RNA, internal transcribed spacer 1, and 5.8S ribosomal RNA
Source: RNAcentral
UCUCCGUAGGUGAACCUGCGGAGGGAUCAUUACAGAGUUCUCGCCCUCGCGGGUAGAUCUCCCACCCACUGUUAUCGUUACUGUGUUGCUUUGGCGGGCCGCCGGGCCCCGCUCGGCCGCCGGCUCCGGCUGGCGCGCGCCCGCCAGAGGCCCAGCAAACUCUGAAUGUUAAUGUCGUCUGAGUACUAUAUAAUAGUUAAAACUUUCAACAACGGAUCUCUUGGUUCUG